GAACGCUAGCGACAGGCCUAACACAUGCAAGUCGAGGGGCAGCACAAGGAGCAAUCUGAGGUGGCGACCGGCGCACGGGUGAGUAACACGUAUGCAACCUGCCUGUAAGCGGGGAAUAACCCGUUGAAAGACGGACUAAUACCGCAUAAUACUAAAUUACUGCAUGGUAAUUUAUUUAAACAUUUAUGGCUUACAGAUGGGCAUGCGCAUGAUUAGCUAGUUGGAGAGGUAACGGCUCCCCAAGGCAACGAUCAUUAGGGGUUCUGAGAGGAAGGUCCCCCACACUGGUACUGAGACACGGACCAGACUCCUACGGGAGGCAGCAGUGAGGAAUAUUGGUCAAUGGACGAGAGUCUGAACCAGCCAAGUCGCGUGCAGGAAGAAUGUCCUUAAUGGAUUGUAAACUGCUUUUGCAGGGGAAUAAAGUGCAUCACGUGUGAUGUUUUGUAUGUACUCUGCGAAUAAGGAUCGGCUAACUCCGUGCCAGCCGCUGC
RNAcentral lists this ribosomal RNA (494 nucleotides) under uncultured bacterium. RNAcentral's name for it is "bacterial SSU rRNA". It matches the Rfam family "Bacterial small subunit ribosomal RNA", at positions 31 to 518 of the family's 1533-position model. The record is from RNAcentral.